Molecule: ribosomal RNA, 469 nt
Filed under: uncultured bacterium
Lineage: Bacteria
Description: partial 16S ribosomal RNA
Rfam family: Bacterial small subunit ribosomal RNA
Source: RNAcentral
GACGAACGCUGGCGGCGUGCUUAACACAUGCAAGUCGAACGGAAAGGCCCUGCUUUUGUGGGGUGCUCGAGUGGCGAACGGGUGAGUAACACGUGAGUAACCUGCCCUUGACUUUGGGAUAACUUCAGGAAACUGGGGCUAAUACCGGAUAGGAGCUCCUGCUGCAUGGUGGGGGUUGGAAAGUUUCGGCGGUUGGGGAUGGACUCGCGGCUUAUCAGCUUGUUGGUGGGGUAGUGGCUUACCAAGGCUUUGACGGGUAGCCGGCCUGAGAGGGUGACCGGCCCCAAUUGGGACGGAGUUGCCGCCCGGCCUCCGGCGGGGGGCAGCGGGGGGAAUUUUGGCACACGGGGAGGAGGCCGGAGACCGCACCCCCGCGUGCGGAGGGGGGGCUUGGGGUUUUUAACCCGUUUCCCCCGGUAAGGAAGGGGGGGGCCGGUGAUGGGAUAAAGAGCCCCGCCCUACCUCGGUC